AAUCAACGCUGGCGGCGUGCCUAACACAUGCAAGUCGAACGCGAAAGCCCCUUCGGGGGCAAGUAGAGUGGCGUCCGGGUGAGUAACACGUGGGUAAUCUACCUCCGGGUGGGGAAUAACUCGCCGAAAGGUGGGCUAAUACCGCAUAAUGCAGCGGCACCGAAUGGUGAUUAGUUGUUAAAGCGGGGGACCUUAGGGCCUCGCGUCUGGAGAGGAGCCUGCGGCAGAUUAGCUUGNGGUAGGGUAAUGGCCUACCAAGGCUGCGAUCUGUAGCUGGUCUGAGAGGACGGCCAGCCACACUGGCACUGACACACGGGCCAGACUCCUACGGGAGGCAGCAGUGGGGAAUUUUGGGCAAUGGGCGAAAGCCUGACCCAGCAGCGCCGCGUGAAGGAGGAAAUCCUUCGGGAUGUAAACUUCACAAGCAAGGGAAGAGCGCGCAGGGUCGAAUAAACUCUGCGUCCGACGGUACCUUGCGUAAGCCACGG
RNAcentral lists this ribosomal RNA (488 nucleotides) under uncultured bacterium. RNAcentral's name for it is "bacterial SSU rRNA". It matches the Rfam family "Bacterial small subunit ribosomal RNA", at positions 32 to 496 of the family's 1533-position model. The record is from RNAcentral.